GGGGAAUAUUGGACAAUGGGGGGAACCCUGAUCCAGCAAUGCCGCGUGUGUGAAGAAGGCCUGAGGGUUGUAAAGCACUUUCAGUGGGGAGGAGGGUUGACUGGUUAAGAGCUGGUUGACUGGACGUUACCCACAGAAGAAGCACCGGCUAACUCCGUGCCAGCAGCCGCGGUAAUACGGAGGGUGCGAGCGUUAAUCGGAAUUACUGGGCGUAAAGGGUGCGUAGGUGGUUUGAUAAGUUAUCUGUGAAAUUCCUGGGCUUAACCUGGGGUGGUCAGAUGAGACUGUUGGACUUGAGUACGGGAGAGGGCAGUGGAAUUUCCGGUGUAGCGGUGAAAUGCGUAGAGAUCGGAAGGAACACCAGUGGCGAAGGCGGCUGCCUGGCCUGAUACUGACACUGAGGCACGAAAGCGUGGGGAGCAAAC
RNAcentral lists this ribosomal RNA (425 nucleotides) under uncultured bacterium. RNAcentral describes it as "bacterial SSU rRNA". It matches the Rfam family "Bacterial small subunit ribosomal RNA", at positions 356 to 773 of the family's 1533-position model. The record is from RNAcentral.